RNAcentral lists this ribosomal RNA (164 nucleotides) under uncultured bacterium. Its description in RNAcentral is "partial 16S rRNA". It matches the Rfam family "Bacterial small subunit ribosomal RNA", at positions 355 to 511 of the family's 1533-position model. The record is from RNAcentral.
UAGGGAAUCUUCCACAAUGGACGAAAGUCUGAUGGAGCAACGCCGCGUGAGUGAAGAAGGGUUUCGGCUCGUAAAACUCUGUUGUUAAAGAAGAACAUAUCUGAGAGUAACUGUUCAGGUAUUGACGGUAUUUAACCAGAAAGCCACGGCUAACUACGUCCCAC